This 405-nucleotide long non-coding RNA is filed under the name Zostera marina. Its description in RNAcentral is "long non-coding RNA (ZMAR_LNC005438)". The record is from RNAcentral. Lineage: Eukaryota; Viridiplantae; Streptophyta; Magnoliopsida; Alismatales; Zosteraceae.
UCAUGUGGAACAUUGGGUACUGCGGUAUUACCGGUGCCGGUGGUGGUGGCUUUUUCUCCUGCUCCGGUGGAGGUGUCGCAGGUUUUUUCUCAGGCGGAGGUGUCGCGGGCUUUUUCUCAGGCGGAGGCGUUGUGGGCUUUUUCUCAGGAGGAGGCGUUGCGGGCUUUUUCUCAGGCUGAGGCGUUGCGGGUUUCUUCUCAGGAGGAGGCGUUGCGGGUUUCUUCUCAGGAGGAGGCGUUGCGGGUUUCUUCUCAGGAGGAGGCGUUGCGGGUUUCUUCUCAGCAGGAGGCGUCGCCGGCUUCUUCUCCGGCGGUGGGUCUGGAAUGUUGAUUUCCUUGAUAGAUUUACAAGCCCUGCAGCACAGCUUCUUGAUGAGCACGUCAGGAUCGAACGGACCAGACAGAG